This 1156-nucleotide long non-coding RNA is filed under the name Capsicum annuum. Its description in RNAcentral is "long non-coding RNA (CANN_LNC017343)". Lineage: Eukaryota; Viridiplantae; Streptophyta; Magnoliopsida; Solanales; Solanaceae. The record is from RNAcentral.
UCAUUAUUCAUUUUUGUUUUCUUCAAGUUCUUGGCCACAAACUUAGUUAGUUGGCAUGAAAAUUUAUCAGUUAUCAUCAAAUUUAUGGUGAUGCACAUAGUUCGCUGGCACGAACUAUCAAAAAUUUCUUCUCUUGUCCUUCCUUCAACACUCAAUCUUCAAUACAAUUCCUAUGUUUCUCAAUUUACUCCAUUUUCAUCAUAUGAUCAUCCUUUAGUGCUCCUUUAACAGAAAUCUAAAAAGUAAGUUUGAUUCAUUAAAUCAUCCUUAAAAGCAUAAACACUAAAAAAAAAAAUUAGUAAGUUAGUUAUUUACCAGCUUAUCAAGAUUUUUCCAAAGUCUUUCUCUGAGUGCUUCAGAUGAGGAGGUGCAUGUAACUUUGUGGUAAUAGAGGUACAACCACAUACUUUUUAAUAAAGAAAAUGAAGAGCACUUUCUCACAUUCAAUCUUAUCUCAUUAAUUGACUGAAAAUUGAGGAAACUAUGUCUAUUGGAUAUAAUUCAAACUUGACAGAUCAAAUCAUCAGACAACAUAUGAAAUAUGGAACAAGUCGAGCGUGGUUCAGUAUAAAUACACUUUGUCUUAGUCUCAAACAAGGCCGGUGAAGGAUGAUAUUAUUUAUGGAAGGUUCAAGGUGUUGCAAUCUGAGACCAAUAUCACGGUUAUGAUUAAUCUAGAUCGAUAAACUUGAGGCUAGACAUAAAAAAAGUAACCGAUCAGGAUAACAUCAAGCAUUCAACCAUUUAUAAAAAGUCAUAGAUCUUCUUAGAUCAUCACGCAGCCCAACAUGUAAUGGACGCAGCAUGUAUAAAUGGAUCAUUUGAGAGCAAAAUUUACACAUAAUGUUCCCUAGGAAUUAGUUAUAAUUAGCUCCUUCUUUUAGUUGUUGGCAUCUGAAUUAAUUAAUUCACUAGGAUUGUACAUAAACUUGUAAUUAAAAGAUCCAUAAUUUUGAAAUACAAUAGCCUCAUGCUAUUUUCAUGACGUUGCCAGACAACUACAUCGGAAUAUAGGUAUCAACUAGCUCUCUUAUUUUGUUAUUGUUACUGGAUUUACUAUUCAUUAUAGUUUUGUAUUAUCUUAAGUUGUAAAUUUAAGCAAGUUAGUUCAUAUCGAUUCUUGUUUGAUCAUCUUUAUAUGCAUGUCAUUGAUCCA